GACGAACGCUGGCGGCGUGCUUAACACAUGCAAGUCGAACGGUAAGGCCCUUCGGGGUACACGAGUGGCGAACGGGUGAGUAACACGUGGGUGAUCUGCCCUGCACUUCGGGAUAAGCCUGGGAAACUGGGUCUAAUACCGGAUAGGACUCCGGACUGCAUGGUCUGGGGUGGAAAGCUUUUGCGGUGUGGGAUGGGCCCGCGGCCUAUCAGCUUGUUGGUGGGGUGAUGGCCUACCAAGGCGACGACGGGUAGCCGGCCUGAGAGGGUGACCGGCCACACUGGGACUGAGGUACGGCCCAGACUCCUACGGGCGGCAGCAGUGGGGAAUAUUGCACAAUGGGCGCAAGCCUGAUGCAGCGACGCCGCGUGAGGGAUGACGGCCUUCGGGUUGUAAACCUCUUUCAGCAGGGACGAAGCGCAAGUGACGGUACCUGCAGAAGAAGCACCGGCCAACUACGUGCCAGCCGCCGCGGUAA
Molecule: ribosomal RNA, 478 nt
Filed under: uncultured bacterium
Lineage: Bacteria
Description: partial 16S ribosomal RNA
Rfam family: Bacterial small subunit ribosomal RNA
Source: RNAcentral